CCUACGGGUGGCAGCAGUGAGGAAUAUUGGUCAAUGGGCGGAAGCCUGAACCAGCCAAGUCGCGUGAGGGAUUAAGGCCCUGCGGGUCGUAAACCUCUUUUGUCAGGGAACAAAGACUGGGACGCGUCCCCGGAUGAGUGUACCUGAAGAAAAAGCAUCGGCUAACUCCGUGCCAGCAGCCGCGGUAAUACGGAGGAUGCGAGCGUUAUCCGGAUUUAUUGGGUUUAAAGGGAGCGCAGGCGGUCUGUUAAGUCAGCGGUCAAAGCCCGGGGCUCAACCCCGGCCCGCCGUUGAAACUGGCAGUCUCGAGUUGGAGAGAAGUAUGCGGAAUGCGCGGUGUAGCGGUGAAAUGCAUAGAUAUCGCGCAGAACUCCGAUUGCGAAGGCAGCAUGCCGGCUCCACACUGACGCUGAGGCACGAAAGCGUGGGUAUCGAACAGGAUUAGAUACCCCGGUAGUC
RNAcentral lists this ribosomal RNA (459 nucleotides) under uncultured bacterium. RNAcentral's name for it is "partial 16S ribosomal RNA". It matches the Rfam family "Bacterial small subunit ribosomal RNA", at positions 338 to 795 of the family's 1533-position model. The record is from RNAcentral.